UGCCCAACCAUGAACAUUGCCUGCCAACCUACACGCAGGCCGCCGGAGAACUACAAGCAACCAGCUUUAAACUCCAAGGACUUGACGGUGUCCUGACCCCCUAGAGGAGCCUGUCCUUUAAUCGAUACUCCACGCUAAACCUCACCCCCAUUUGCAAACUCAGCCUAUAUACCGCCGUCGAAAGUCUACCCCAUGAGUGAACCUCCGUGGACAGAACAGCUUUCCCCCUAACACGUCAGGUCAAGGUGUAGCUAAUGUGGGGGAAAGAGAUGGGCUACACUCUCUGACCAAGAGCCCUGUAAGUACAUGAAAUACACCCUGAAAGCAGGAUUUAGCAGUAAACUUAACAAGUUGUGUUAACUUGAAGUCGCGCUCCAGGACGCGUACAC
This 389-nucleotide ribosomal RNA is filed under the name Gonatodes vittatus. Its description in RNAcentral is "partial 12S ribosomal RNA". It matches the Rfam family "Bacterial small subunit ribosomal RNA", at positions 793 to 1388 of the family's 1533-position model. Lineage: Eukaryota; Metazoa; Chordata; Lepidosauria; Squamata; Sphaerodactylidae. The record is from RNAcentral.